This 2923-nucleotide ribosomal RNA is filed under the name Staphylococcus aureus. Its description in RNAcentral is "bacterial LSU rRNA". It matches the Rfam family "Bacterial large subunit ribosomal RNA". Lineage: Bacteria; Bacillati; Bacillota; Bacilli; Caryophanales; Staphylococcaceae. The record is from RNAcentral.
UUAAGUUAUUAAGGGCGCACGGUGGAUGCCUUGGCACUAGAAGCCGAUGAAGGACGUUACUAACGACGAUAUGCUUUGGGGAGCUGUAAGUAAGCUUUGAUCCAGAGAUUUCCGAAUGGGGAAACCCAGCAUGAGUUAUGUCAUGUUAUCGAUAUGUGAAUACAUAGCAUAUCAGAAGGCACACCCGGAGAACUGAAACAUCUUAGUACCCGGAGGAAGAAAAAGAAAAUUCGAUUCCCUUAGUAGCGGCGAGCGAAACGGGAAGAGCCCAAACCAACAAGCUUGCUUGUUGGGGUUGUAGGACACUCUAUACGGAGUUACAAAGGACGACAUUAGACGAAUCAUCUGGAAAGAUGAAUCAAAGAAGGUAAUAAUCCUGUAGUCGAAAAUGUUGUCUCUCUUGAGUGGAUCCUGAGUACGACGGAACACGUGAAAUUCCGUCGGAAUCUGGGAGGACCAUCUCCUAAGGCUAAAUACUCUCUAGUGACCGAUAGUGAACCAGUACCGUGAGGGAAAGGUGAAAAGCACCCCGGAAGGGGAGUGAAAUAGAACCUGAAACCGUGUGCUUACAAGUAGUCAGAGCCCGUUAAUGGGUGAUGGCGUGCCUUUUGUAGAAUGAACCGGCGAGUUACGAUUUGAUGCAAGGUUAAGCAGUAAAUGUGGAGCCGUAGCGAAAGCGAGUCUGAAUAGGGCGUUUAGUAUUUGGUCGUAGACCCGAAACCAGGUGAUCUACCCUUGGUCAGGUUGAAGUUCAGGUAACACUGAAUGGAGGACCGAACCGACUUACGUUGAAAAGUGAGCGGAUGAACUGAGGGUAGCGGAGAAAUUCCAAUCGAACCUGGAGAUAGCUGGUUCUCUCCGAAAUAGCUUUAGGGCUAGCCUCAAGUGAUGAUUAUUGGAGGUAGAGCACUGUUUGGACGAGGGGGCCCCUCUCGGGUUACCGAAUUCAGACAAACUCCGAAUGCCAAUUAAUUUAACUUGGGAGUCAGAACAUGGGUGAUAAGGUCCGUGUUCGAAAGGGAAACAGCCCAGACCACCAGCUAAGGUCCCAAAAUAUAUGUUAAGUGGAAAAGGAUGUGGCGUUGCCCAGACAACUAGGAUGUUGGCUUAGAAGCAGCCAUCAUUUAAAGAGUGCGUAAUAGCUCACUAGUCGAGUGACACUGCGCCGAAAAUGUACCGGGGCUAAACAUAUUACCGAAGCUGUGGAUUGUCCUUUGGACAAUGGUAGGAGAGCGUUCUAAGGGCGUUGAAGCAUGAUCGUAAGGACAUGUGGAGCGCUUAGAAGUGAGAAUGCCGGUGUGAGUAGCGAAAGACGGGUGAGAAUCCCGUCCACCGAUUGACUAAGGUUUCCAGAGGAAGGCUCGUCCGCUCUGGGUUAGUCGGGUCCUAAGCUGAGGCCGACAGGCGUAGGCGAUGGAUAACAGGUUGAUAUUCCUGUACCACCUAUAAUCGUUUUAAUCGAUGGGGGGACGCAGUAGGAUAGGCGAAGCGUGCGAUUGGAUUGCACGUCUAAGCAGUAAGGCUGAGUAUUAGGCAAAUCCGGUACUCGUUAAGGCUGAGCUGUGAUGGGGAGAAGACAUUGAGUCUUCGAGUCGUUGAUUUCACACUGCCGAGAAAAGCCUCUAGAUAGAAAAUAGGUGCCCGUACCGCAAACCGACACAGGUAGUCAAGAUGAGAAUUCUAAGGUGAGCGAGCGAACUCUCGUUAAGGAACUCGGCAAAAUGACCCCGUAACUUCGGGAGAAGGGGUGCUCUUUAGGGUUAACGCCCAGAAGAGCCGCAGUGAAUAGGCCCAAGCGACUGUUUAUCAAAAAACACAGGUCUCUGCUAAACCGUAAGGUGAUGUAUAGGGGCUGACGCCUGCCCGGUGCUGGAAGGUUAAGAGGAGUGGUUAGCUUCUGCGAAGCUACGAAUCGAAGCCCCAGUAAACGGCGGCCGUAACUAUAACGGUCCUAAGGUAGCGAAAUUCCUUGUCGGGUAAGUUCCGACCCGCACGAAAGGCGUAACGAUUUGGGCACUGUCUCAACGAGAGACUCGGUGAAAUCAUAGUACCUGUGAAGAUGCAGGUUACCCGCGACAGGACGGAAAGACCCCGUGGAGCUUUACUGUAGCCUGAUAUUGAAAUUCGGCACAGCUUGUACAGGAUAGGUAGGAGCCUUUGAAACGUGAGCGCUAGCUUACGUGGAGGCGCUGGUGGGAUACUACCCUAGCUGUGUUGGCUUUCUAACCCGCACCACUUAUCGUGGUGGGAGACAGUGUCAGGCGGGCAGUUUGACUGGGGCGGUCGCCUCCUAAAAGGUAACGGAGGCGCUCAAAGGUUCCCUCAGAAUGGUUGGAAAUCAUUCAUAGAGUGUAAAGGCAUAAGGGAGCUUGACUGCGAGACCUACAAGUCGAGCAGGGUCGAAAGACGGACUUAGUGAUCCGGUGGUUCCGCAUGGAAGGGCCAUCGCUCAACGGAUAAAAGCUACCCCGGGGAUAACAGGCUUAUCUCCCCCAAGAGUUCACAUCGACGGGGAGGUUUGGCACCUCGAUGUCGGCUCAUCGCAUCCUGGGGCUGUAGUCGGUCCCAAGGGUUGGGCUGUUCGCCCAUUAAAGCGGUACGCGAGCUGGGUUCAGAACGUCGUGAGACAGUUCGGUCCCUAUCCGUCGUGGGCGUAGGAAAUUUGAGAGGAGCUGUCCUUAGUACGAGAGGACCGGGAUGGACAUACCUCUGGUGUACCAGUUGUCGUGCCAACGGCAUAGCUGGGUAGCUAUGUGUGGACGGGAUAAGUGCUGAAAGCAUCUAAGCAUGAAGCCCCCCUCAAGAUGAGAUUUCCCAACUUCGGUUAUAAGAUCCCUCAAAGAUGAUGAGGUUAAUAGGUUCGAGGUGGAAGCAUGGUGACAUGUGGAGCUGACGAAUACUAAUCGAUCGAAGACUUAAUCAA